This is a long non-coding RNA of Zingiber officinale, 753 nucleotides long. RefSeq lists it as uncharacterized. The transcript has 3 exons. The record is from RefSeq and is a predicted model, not a curated record. NCBI's taxonomy places the organism in Eukaryota, Viridiplantae, Streptophyta, Magnoliopsida, Zingiberales, Zingiberaceae.
CUACGUAACGACUAACGACACGGUUUCCUCCCUCUCCACAACACCGCCUUCUUUCAGUAGCAAGCUUUCUUCCCUCUCCGUAGCAAGGAAGAGCGAAGCCUGAGAUAUCGAGUUCCUCCUCCCGAUUCUGUACUUCGAAGGUUUGGAUGCAGCUUUUCUUGCAGUGGAUUGAUGUCUCAUUUGAUUCUAAUUUCUCCCUGUUCUCUAACGCCUUUUUUUGGGUUGUAAUCUUGUUUGUUAAGGUUUUUGUAAUCACUCACUACAAUGGAUUCAUCAUCUCCGAACCAUCUAGAGUUCGAUUAUUUGUUUAAGCUGUUGUUUAUAGGCGAUUCUAGCAUUGUUAAAAGCCGCCAUCUUCUCAGAUUCACUUCGGACUCCUUCGAAGAUAUUUUCCCUACAAUUGGUGUUGAUUUUAUAGUAAAGAUUGUCAACAUUGGGGGUAAAAGGUUGAAGCUUGCAGUCUAGUCUAGGAUAUAGCAAGCUUGUCGAGAAACAAAAUAGAGUUGGAGGAACCGGAUGUAGUGUCAACAAAAGGAAGAUGGCUUGAUAUAUGCUUUUCUAAACAAAAUGGAGUUGGAGGAACUGUGCAUUUGUAAAUACUUUUAGCUAGUUUGGGCUACUUUUGGAAUCAAUACUUUACAUUAAUAUUGCAUUUGUAAAUUUGACACAAAUGAUUAUUAGAUGAAUAAAAAUUUAGUGACAUGUGAUGAAUGAAUUGUGAUGAUGUGAUAAAUUGUAAUGAAUUGUGAUGAU